This is a ribosomal RNA of Lepisosteus oculatus (spotted gar), 120 nucleotides long. The record is from Rfam. NCBI's taxonomy places the organism in Eukaryota, Metazoa, Chordata, Actinopteri, Semionotiformes, Lepisosteidae.
UCCAGCCGCCAUAUCACCCUGCAACUCACAACUGGCAGCCCACUGAAGCUCAGCAGGUGUGAGCCUGGUCAGUACCUGGAUAGGAGACCUCUUGGGGAAAAACUUAGGUUGCUGCUGGAA